CGUGGGCUCCCUUCCCCUCCGUGACCCCUGACCUCAGAUCCCCUUAAGUUCCGCGUCCGAAAGAUUUGCUUCGGGAGGCGCCUCGCGGUCCCUCAUCCCCAAAUCUUCCAGCUAACCCCACGGUUCUCCCAGCCCAGCAGGGGCGGGCAGAAGCGGUGACGAGGCACUUUUGCCAGGAAAGGAGGGACUGUUCCAGAGCCUGGGGGCUGCAGUGGUCAGGUGUUCUGCCCACCUGGCUGGGAAGGCAGAGCCUGCCUGGAAACUACCACAGUGAAACAGCACAGAGGAAAGCAGAUGUCAAGUGGUACCCAUGGGUCCAAACACUUAAUUGGGCAAAUAUUGUGUUUCUCCUUCUCUACAAGCCUUACUAUCUGGCUUGAGGCUCCACCCUUCAGAGACUCCAGGAUUGGGGGAACUCACCUCGAUAUAAUGGUCUGUGAAUUCAGUUCCAAAUUCCCGGCUUGCACCAAAGUCCAGCAAGAUCACCUGGAAAUGAAGGAUGGUGAAAGGGACACUGGGAAUCCACCAGUGCUGCCCAUUGUCUAUGGGGGGGCCAGGGUCUGUCCCUCUCUCCCCACACACUGCCCCUCCUGCCCAAGUCCCCGCCCAGCUGCCUCCCCUGGGCUCCUGGCUUCCGGUCUCCACACAUCAAUCCACCCCCACAUGAAGCUGAAGGG
This is a long non-coding RNA of Mesoplodon densirostris (Blainville's beaked whale), 677 nucleotides long. RefSeq lists it as uncharacterized. The record is from RefSeq and is a predicted model, not a curated record. Lineage: Eukaryota; Metazoa; Chordata; Mammalia; Artiodactyla; Ziphiidae. The transcript has 3 exons.